GGCUGCUUUUAUAAAUGUUUUGAAAGCAUUUUUUAAGUAUUUGUUUACUUAGUAGCUU
Molecule: transfer RNA, 58 nt
Filed under: Nemertopsis sp. WYS-2013
Lineage: Eukaryota; Metazoa; Nemertea; Enopla; Monostilifera; Emplectonematidae
Description: tRNA-Ser
Source: RNAcentral